UGGGGAAUAUUGCGCAAUGGGGGCAACCCUGACGCAGCAAUACCGCGUGAGUGAAGAAGGUUUUCGGAUCGUAAAGCUCUGUUAUUGGGGAAGAAAAAAAGACGGUACCCAAGAAGAAAGUCCCGGCUAACUACGUGCCAGCAGCCGCGGUAAUACGUAGGGGACAAGCGUUGUCCGGAUUUACUAGGCGUAAAGGGCACGCAGGCGGUUUUUUAAGUCAGAUGUGAAAGGUACCGGCUCAACCGGUGACAGGCAUGUGAAACUGAAAGACUUGAGUGUUGGAGAGGCAAGUGGAAUUCCUAGUGUAGCGGUGAAAUGCGUAGAUAUUAGGAGGAACACCGGUGGCGAAGGCGGCUUGCUGGACAAAUACUGACGCUGAGGUGCGAAAGCGUGGGGAGCAAACA
RNAcentral lists this ribosomal RNA (404 nucleotides) under uncultured prokaryote. Its description in RNAcentral is "bacterial SSU rRNA". It matches the Rfam family "Bacterial small subunit ribosomal RNA", at positions 355 to 774 of the family's 1533-position model. The record is from RNAcentral.